AGAACGAACGCUGGCGGCAUGCCUAACACAUGCAAGUCGAACGUGAUCCAGGCUUCGGCCUGGUGAAAGUGGCAGACGGGUGAGUAACGCGUGGGAACCUGCCCUGUGGUAGGGAAUAACCGUGGGAAACUGCGGCUAAUACCCUAUGAGUCCUUCGGGAGAAAGAUUUAUCGCCAUAGGAGGGGCCCGCGUCGGAUUAGGUAGUUGGUGGGGUAACGGCCUACCAAGCCUUCGAUCCGUAGCUGGUCUGAGAGGAUGAUCAGCCACACUGGGACUGAGACACGGCCCAGACUCCUACGGGAGGCAGCAGUGGGGAAUCUUGCACAAUGGGCGAAAGCCUGAUGCAGCAACGCCGCGUGAGGGACGAAGGCUUUCUGAGUUGUAAACCUCUUUCAGCAGGGACGAUUGUGACGGUACCUGCAGAAGAGCCCCGGCAACUACGUGCCAGCAGCCGC
Molecule: ribosomal RNA, 455 nt
Filed under: uncultured bacterium
Lineage: Bacteria
Description: SSU rRNA
Rfam family: Bacterial small subunit ribosomal RNA
Source: RNAcentral